Molecule: ribosomal RNA, 460 nt
Filed under: uncultured bacterium
Lineage: Bacteria
Description: partial 16S ribosomal RNA
Rfam family: Bacterial small subunit ribosomal RNA
Source: RNAcentral
CCUACGGGUGGCAGCAGUGAGGAAUAUUGGUCAAUGGACGAGAGUCUGAACCAGCCAAGCCGCGUGAAGGAUGACUGCCCAAUGGGUUGUAAACUUCUUUUAUAAAGGAAUAAAACGAGGCACGUGUGCCCUUUUGCAUGUACUUUACGAAUAAGGAUCGGCUAACUCCGUGCCAGCAGCCGCGGUAAUACGGAGGAUCCGAGCGUUAUCCGGAUUUAUUGGGUUUAAAGGGAGCGUAGAUGGGUUGUUAAGUCAGGUGUGAAAGGAUGCGGCUCAACCGUAGAAUUGCCAUUGAUACUGGCAGUCUUGAGUACAGGUGAGGUAGGCGGAAUGCGUGGUGUAGCGGUGAAAUGCUUAGAUAUCACGAAGAACCCCGAUUGCGAAGGCAGCUUACUAAACUGUGACUGACAUUGAUGCUCGAAAGUGUGGGUAUCGAACAGGAUUAGAUACCCGGGUAGUC